This 319-nucleotide ribosomal RNA is filed under the name uncultured bacterium. Its description in RNAcentral is "bacterial SSU rRNA". It matches the Rfam family "Bacterial small subunit ribosomal RNA", at positions 29 to 363 of the family's 1533-position model. The record is from RNAcentral.
AACGAACGCUGGCGGCAUGCCUAACACAUGCAAGUCGAACGGGAUCCUAGCUUGCUAGGUGAGAGUGGCGGACGGGUGAGUAACACGUGGGAAUCUGCCUUUUUGGUUCGGGAUAACCGCGGGAAACUGCGGCUAAUACCGAAUGCCCUCGAGAGAGGAAAGUAUUUAUCGCCAGAAGAGGAGCCCGCGUCCGAUUAGGUAGUUGGUGAGGUAAUGGCUCACCAAGCCGACGAUCGGUAGCUGGUCUGAGAGGAUGAUCAGCCACACUGGGACUGAGAUACGGCCCAGACUCCGUACGGGAGGCAGCAGGUGGGGAAUA